AACGUAGGUGGCAAACGUUAUCCGGAUUCACUGGGCGUAAAGAGUGCGUAGGCGGCUUUUCAAGUCGGAUGUAAAAUCUCUCGGCUCAACUGGGAGGGACCAUCCGAUACUGUGAGGCUAGAGUGCAUCAGAGGAGAGUGGAAUUCCCGGUGUAGUGGUGGAAUGCGUAGAUAUCGGGAGGAACACCUGUGGCGAAAGCGGCUCUCUGGGAUGUUACUGACGCUGUUGCACGAAAGCGUGGGGAG
This 245-nucleotide ribosomal RNA is filed under the name uncultured bacterium. RNAcentral describes it as "partial 16S ribosomal RNA". It matches the Rfam family "Bacterial small subunit ribosomal RNA", at positions 524 to 768 of the family's 1533-position model. The record is from RNAcentral.